This 681-nucleotide long non-coding RNA is filed under the name Trifolium pratense (red clover). Its description in RNAcentral is "long non-coding RNA (TPRA_LNC013414)". Lineage: Eukaryota; Viridiplantae; Streptophyta; Magnoliopsida; Fabales; Fabaceae. The record is from RNAcentral.
AUUACAUUACAAUGACUUGACAUUACAAAAGUGAUAAGAGAAUAUUUAUAAUAUAACCUAAUGGACUCUAACUUACUAGUUUAAAAGCCCAAUAGCUUAAGCUCAAUACUUUAUUAUCUAACACCUACCCUCAAACUCAUAAUGCAUCAACAAAAAACAUUGUGAGUUUGUCAAACAAAAUACGAAAAACAUAUUAAAUAAUAUAAACUUAUAGCACCACCCCUCAAGCUAAAGCUUACUAAGCUUUAAGCUUGUUACAAAAUUAACCCAGAAAAUUAAACUAAAUCAACUAAUAUCAUAACCAUCAGAGAGCAGACAUAAGAUAAACCAUCAAAGAGAGCAGAACUAAAUCAGAUUGAUCCAAUAUCCAAUCCAAAGCAUCUGAAACUGAACCAAUUGAACAACUCCAAGCUAAGCCAAACCAAAUUGUACCAAUACAAACCAAACCAAAACAAGCAUAAUCCAAACUAUCAAAAAGAAGAACCAAACCACCAAACAGAAGAAUUAUUCAAUGGAGAGAAGAGCAACCAAAAUAGAAGAACAAACAAGGGGAGGAAGCAAACCGAAGAGAAAUCAUCAGAGAGAGAAGCAAUCAAACAAGGAGAAGCAAUCAGACAUAAGAAAAUCAACAGAGGGAAGCAAUCAGACAGAAUUCAGACAAAAGCAUCAUCAAUGAGAAGC